CAUGUGUUCAGGAGUAACAUCCAGAAUAUUAAUAGGACCUGUUGGUGGCCCAGGAACAUCAAGAACAGUAAGAUGUACGGCUACUGUUUUGCUACCGGCUGCAUUGGAAACUGUGAUUUGAUAUUCCCCAGUGUCUCUCCUUAAGCAGUUCUUAAUGAGAAUAGACGCCUUGAUGGCUCCUCUGGCAGUUCUUGAUGACCAUGGAUGAGCUAAUGGCUGUGGUCUCAAUGGUGGCUUCUUGAGAUUAUUUACAGCUGUGAUGGUAUAUAAGCCAGUGUCACUCCUGCGAGACUGCGGAAUAACUAAAGUGCAAGUAUCAUCUACCACCAGUUUGUUGACAUGGGUGUCAUAGAGAACAGGUUCUUUGUUAUCAGGCUUCUUUGGAGGAGCUUUAAACCAGGAGCAUGCAGAGAAAUUGCUUUAGCCUCUGAUAAAUAAAACAGACUGCCAUGGAGAAAAUUACAGCGAGGAAAUUACAGACAUCAUCUCCUUUGAACAGGGAAAAGGUAACAGCUGAUUGAGAAACUUACCAAACUGAUAUUUGGCUGUUAUUGGAGAGGCCUGAACUGGUUCACCAACACCAUACAUGUUUUCUGCAGCAACUCUGAAGAUGUACUCUUUAUUGGGGAUUAAUUUGGUGGCCUUGAAGUUUGUAUCCUUGACGGUGGAUGAGAGCUUGUGCCACACUUCACUAUCAGUUGCUCGUCUCUCCACAACAUAGUUUGUGAUCUUAGAUCCACCAUCAUCGCGUGGU
RNAcentral lists this non-coding RNA (754 nucleotides) under Pan troglodytes (chimpanzee). Lineage: Eukaryota; Metazoa; Chordata; Mammalia; Primates; Hominidae. The record is from RNAcentral.